AGAGGGCAGCUACCCAGCGAUGGGGUGCGAAUCUCGAAAGCCUAUCUCAGUUCGGAUUGGAGGCUGAAACCCGCCUCCAUGAAGUUGGAUUCGCUAGUAAUCGCGCAUCAGCCAUGGCGCGGUGAAUACGUUCCCGGGCCUUGUACACACCGCCCGUCAAGCCAUGGGAGCUGGGGGUGCCUGAAGUUCGUGACCGCAAGGAUCGACCUAGGGCAAAACCGGUGACUGGGGCUAAGUCGUAACAAGGUACC
This 251-nucleotide ribosomal RNA is filed under the name uncultured bacterium. RNAcentral's name for it is "partial 16S ribosomal RNA". It matches the Rfam family "Bacterial small subunit ribosomal RNA", at positions 1241 to 1500 of the family's 1533-position model. The record is from RNAcentral.